Molecule: ribosomal RNA, 468 nt
Filed under: uncultured bacterium
Lineage: Bacteria
Description: partial 16S ribosomal RNA
Rfam family: Bacterial small subunit ribosomal RNA
Source: RNAcentral
GACGAACGCUGGCGGCGUGCUUAACACAUGCAAGUCGAACGGAAAGGCCCUGCUUUUGUGGGGUGCUCGAGUGGCGAACGGGUGAGUAACACGUGAGUAACCUGCCCUUGACUUUGGGAUAACUUCAGGAAACUGGGGCUAAUACCGGAUAGGAGCUCCUGCUGCAUGGUGGGGGUUGGAAAGUUUCGGCGGUUGGGGAUGGACUCGCGGCUUAUCAGCUUGUUGGUGGGGUAGUGGCUUACCAAGGCUUUGACGGGUAGCCGGCCUGAGAGGGUGACCGGCCACAUUGGGACUGAGAUACGGCCCAGACUGCUACGGGAGGAAGCAGUGGGGAAUAGUGCACAAUGGGCGGAAGCCUGAUGCAGCAACGCCGCGUGCGGGAUGACGGCCUUCGGGUUGUAAACCGCUUUCGCCUGUGACGAAGCGUGAGUGACGGUAAUGGGUAAAGAAGCACCGGCUAACUACGUG